GUGUCAGCCGCCGCGGUAAUACGUAGGGUGCAAGCGUUGUCCGGAAUUAUUGGGCGUAAAGAGCUCGUAGGCGGCUUGUUGCGUCGGCUGUGAAAUCCCGGGGCUUAACUCCGGGCGUGCAGCCGAUACGGGCAGGCUAGAGUCCGGUAGGGGAGACUGGAAUUCCUGGUGUAGCGGUGAAAUGCGCAGAUAUCAGGAGGAACACCGGUGGCGAAGGCGGGUCUCUGGGCCGGUACUGACGCUAAGGAGCGAAAGCGUGGGGAGCGAACAGGAUUAGAUACCCUGGUAGUCC
This 292-nucleotide ribosomal RNA is filed under the name uncultured bacterium. RNAcentral's name for it is "partial 16S ribosomal RNA". It matches the Rfam family "Bacterial small subunit ribosomal RNA", at positions 505 to 796 of the family's 1533-position model. The record is from RNAcentral.